GUAUAAUGAGGGUCUAUGGUGAGUCCUUUUAUAAAAGUUUUGCUUAUUGCACAUCAGUCCUUUUUUUAAUUAAAAUUAUUGUAAUAAUUAAACUUAUUUUACUUAGAUUUAAAUCAUAUAAUUAAUAUCUAACUCUUAAUUUGUUUUUUUAAAGUCCAAAUUCCUUCAUUAUCUAUGUUCUUCAUUCUUCAUGUGUUCAUCAUUCACCACCAAAAUCCUUCAUUUUUACUUAACAACAACAACCUCAACAACAAAUUUCUGGAAAUUACUACCUUUGUUCUACAUAUGAGCUUUCUCCCCAAACGUGAGUUUGAUACUCAACCGUGAUUUAAACUAAUUCCUUUGAUGUUGGAUGAUUGCAAAAGCAAACCCCAGAUCUGUAGCCUCAAACGCUAGUUAACUCAAAGGUAUUUGAUUUCAAGUUUGACAGUCUCAAACACGUUUUCC
Molecule: long non-coding RNA, 447 nt
Filed under: Trifolium pratense (red clover)
Lineage: Eukaryota; Viridiplantae; Streptophyta; Magnoliopsida; Fabales; Fabaceae
Description: long non-coding RNA (TPRA_LNC013399)
Source: RNAcentral